GUUGUUUUCAAGUUUCUAUG
RNAcentral lists this small nuclear RNA (20 nucleotides) under Arabidopsis thaliana (thale cress). RNAcentral describes it as "snRNA_05675". Lineage: Eukaryota; Viridiplantae; Streptophyta; Magnoliopsida; Brassicales; Brassicaceae. The record is from RNAcentral.